Long non-coding RNA from Drosophila guanche, 1699 nucleotides. RefSeq lists it as uncharacterized. The transcript is spliced from 2 exons. The record is from RefSeq and is a predicted model, not a curated record. NCBI's taxonomy places the organism in Eukaryota, Metazoa, Arthropoda, Insecta, Diptera, Drosophilidae.
CAAAACCAAACAAAGAGAAAACAAAACAACAACAAAAAAAAAGAAAAACAACAAAAAAAUAAAAAUUUUGGAAUAAAUGUGUUCAGCAAAAGAAAUGUUAUUAUAUGUUUAAAUAAAUUACAAUUAAAAUUAAAAUUACAAUUACAAUUAAUUCGAGAUGGACAAACAUUUAAUGUAAUUCAAUUGAGCUAAGUACACGAGAAAAAUUUUACAAAAAUUCAAAUUGUAUAUAUAGAAGCAUAUACAUACAUAGCACAUAGCCUAACACGUAGCCACACACACACAUACCCACACACACACACACACGCACACUUAUUUAGAGCUGAAGGCGCAUCUCAUCCGAUAUUUGUAUUAGUUUCGUAUGCUUGAACUUUGCUCUACUCUCUCCACCCAACCCAACUCGAACCCAACUCGAACCCAACUCGAACCCAACUCGAACCCAACUCGAACCCAACUCGAGCCCAACUCGAACCCAACUCAACUCAACGCUAUCGAACUUUACUCUACUCAACGCAACUGUAGCCUACUCUACUGUACUCUAGUCGUAACCUAGCCCAAGCGGACAAGCGUAAAGCUACUACUAAAGAUACUCGAAUAAACGAAGAAAUCUCCAGGAGAAGAAGCAGACAUAUCGUUGUAAAGCAAAAACAUAAUUAUAAUCGUAAUAACCAAGCUCAGACACGUGAGAAUAACUCGAAGAAUGAAUCGAAUCGAAUAAUUAACACAUGGCAAAACGCAAAAGAAGGAAAAACGCAAAACAACAAAACUGAACUGUCACAACAAAAAGAACAAGCAAGAAACGCUCGACUUCUCCUAAAUUUAAACCAGAAACAAUCCUUUCAAGUUUUCCAUUAAAUUUAAUUGCAAACUAAACGACAAAACACUUAACACGCAUACGAAAAACGAAAAACUAAACGAACACACACAAAAACCAAAAAGAAAGAAUAAAUAAUACCUACUAUAUACCAUAUGCUAAAGCUAUAUUCUAUACACGUACGAGUAAAUCAAAACAUACAAAAUAAAACCAGCCACAAAUAAUGAAAACUAUCUGUCAGACUCUUCUCAAUGCUUCUAGAAACAUACAAAAAAACCACACAAAAUUUCUAUUAAGGACAAAGACUGCAAAUAGAGAUUAAAAAAAGAAAAAAAUAUAUAAUAAUAUAUGUAUAAUGUAUAUGUAUACAUAAAAAAAAUAUUGAUAUAUUUGUUAAAAUUCUUUGUUGAUUGAUUUCCAAUUUUGAUUUGGCCUUGUUUCAAACAUCCAAAAUAUAUGUUUAAGUUUAGCUAGAAGCUCCAAGACCCACAGCCGGACCGAACCCAGGCGAAUCGAACGGAACCGAACCGAACCGAACACAACCGAACAGAAUUGGGAGAACAGCCCCCCAGACCUUAACUGAACCCAAUUAGACCUAGAUAUGUUUGCAGGUACCCAUGAGCCCAUAGACCAAGCAGAAACCCAACGAACAGAGCAUCGGCAAUAGCAUGAAUAAAACACAUGAACGAUAACGAUAAACUGAGAAACAAUAACACAGAAAACAGCAGAGAACCAAAAGAAAAACCAGAACAAUACGAAUCAAAGCAUAUAAAAGAUAACAGCAGAUAACACGAGUAAUCCACAACAUAUAGAAAAAUAACUUAGUAUUACGCCCAAUAAGAUAUGACAAAUACAAAAGCAAAACCAAGAAACAAAAAGCUAAAA